This 468-nucleotide ribosomal RNA is filed under the name uncultured bacterium. RNAcentral describes it as "partial 16S ribosomal RNA". It matches the Rfam family "Bacterial small subunit ribosomal RNA", at positions 28 to 507 of the family's 1533-position model. The record is from RNAcentral.
GGCGAACGCUGGCGGCGUGCUUAACACAUGCAAGUCGAACGGAAAGGCCCUGCUUUUGUGGGGUGCUCGAGUGGCGAACGGGUGAGUAACACGUGAGUAACCUGCCCUUGACUUUGGGAUAACUUCAGGGAACUGGGGCUAAUACCGGAUAGGAGCUCCUGCUGCAUGGUGGGGGUUGGAAAGUUUCGGCGGUUGGGGAUGGACUCGCGGCUUAUCAGCUUGUUGGUGGGGUAGUGGCUUACCAAGGCUUUGACGGGUAGCCGGCCUGAGAGGGUGACCGGCCACAUUGGGACUGAGAUACGGCCCAGACUCCUACGGGAGGCAGCAGUGGGGAAUAUUGCACAAUGGGCGGAAGCCUGAUGCAGCAACGCCGCGUGCGGGAUGACGGCCUUCGGGUUGUAAACCGCUUUCGCCUGUGACGAAGCGUGAGUGACGGUAAUGGGUAAAGAAGCACCGGCUAACUACGUG